UUAAAGCUUCAACUGGGAUUAGAUACCCCACUAUUCUUGACUGUAAAUCUAAUAAAAUUUACCAGAGCACUAUGAAUAUUAUAAAAAAUUUAAAACUCAAAGGGCUUGGCGGUGUUUUAGACCUAUCAGGGGAACCUGUCUCAUAAUCGACAAUCCACGUUGAACCUAACCCUAUUUUGUAUCCAGUUUGUAUACCGUCGUCGUCAGGUAACUUUUAAAAGAUUAGAAGUUAGCAAUAAAAAUUUUUUAAAUUAAAACGUCAGAUCAAGGUGCAGCUAAUAAUAGGGCGAGGAUGGGUUACAGUUAUUUAAGUUAUAAUUACGGAAAACUACAUGAAACAUAGUUUGAAGGAGGACUUGAAAGUAAAAUAAAAUAUAUAGACAAUUUGAAUAUGGCUCUGAAACGUGCACACACCGCCCGUCACCCUCUGCAGUCAAAAAAUA
Molecule: ribosomal RNA, 443 nt
Filed under: Buccinum pemphigus
Lineage: Eukaryota; Metazoa; Mollusca; Gastropoda; Neogastropoda; Buccinidae
Description: partial 12S ribosomal RNA
Rfam family: Microsporidia small subunit ribosomal RNA
Source: RNAcentral